Molecule: ribosomal RNA, 432 nt
Filed under: uncultured bacterium
Lineage: Bacteria
Description: partial 16S ribosomal RNA
Rfam family: Bacterial small subunit ribosomal RNA
Source: RNAcentral
ACGAACGCUGGCGGCAUGCCUCACAUAUGCACGUCGAACGUGACCUUCGGGUCUCGUGGCGCACGGGUGCGUAACGCGUGGGAACCUGUCCUUUGGUUCGGAAUAACUCCACGUAAGGGGUGCUAAUACCGGAUAAUGUCUUCGGCCCAAAGAUUUAUCGACUUUGGAUGGGCCCGCGUUGGCUUAGCUAGUUGGUAGGGUAAAAGCCUACCAAGGCGACGAUCCAUAGCUGGUCUGAGAGGUUGUUCAGCCACUCUGGGACUGAGACACGGCCCAGACUCCUACGGGAGGCAGCAGUGGGGAAUAUUGGACAAUGGGCGAAAGCCUGAUCCAGCAAUGCCGCGUGAGUGAUGAAGGCCUUAGGGUUGUAAAGCUCUUUUACCCGGGAUGAUAAUGACAGUACCGGGAGAAUAAGCUCCGGCUAACUCCGUG